UACGUAGGGUGCGAGCGUUGUCCGGAAUUAUUGGGCGUAAAGGGCUCGUAGGCGGUUUGUCGCGUCGGGAGUGAAAACGCCGUGCUUAACACGGCGCUUGCUUUCGAUACGGGCAGACUAGAGGUAUGCAGGGGAGAACGGAAUUCCUGGUGUAGCGGUGAAAUGCGCAGAUAUCAGGAGGAACACCGGUGGCGAAGGCGGGUCUCUGGGCAACAACUGACGCUGAGGAGCGAAAGCGUGGGGAGCGAACAGG
RNAcentral lists this ribosomal RNA (253 nucleotides) under uncultured bacterium. RNAcentral describes it as "partial 16S ribosomal RNA". It matches the Rfam family "Bacterial small subunit ribosomal RNA", at positions 524 to 776 of the family's 1533-position model. The record is from RNAcentral.